AUGAAACCAAUUUGUAAUUAAUAACCAAAAAAUUGCCUGUCAAAUAAUUCCAAUAUUUUCCAAUCAGUAGUUGUACAAGAGUUAUACACGAGUAAGCAAGAACUACAGUUUCUUGGGGGGUUUAAAGCAACCCCCUUUACAAAACUCUCUUACCUAUGUUUAUAGGUAUAAGAAAGGUCUCUCUUGGUAUGUUUACUUGAAUUGUUUCUAUGAUAAAAUCAUCUCCUUCGCCUAUUUUAAUCCUCCUUUCCCUUCAAUCCAUGCUGGCAACACUAUUUAACUUGAACUAAAUAAUGGUAAAAACAAAAGAAUGCUACCCUCUCAGACAAUACUCAUAAGACUAGGAUGAAAAUGUUAAUAAUUUCACUAACCAUCUAGCUUCUACAUGGUUCUCAACAAGUGGUAAUUCUACUCCAAGUUAAACUUCAACUCUUCUGUAGAAAAGAACGUAAGCAGCUGAAGUCUUUAUCUUG
Molecule: unclassified non-coding RNA, 473 nt
Filed under: Hevea brasiliensis (rubber tree)
Lineage: Eukaryota; Viridiplantae; Streptophyta; Magnoliopsida; Malpighiales; Euphorbiaceae
Source: RNAcentral